GUAGCAGUGAAAUGCGUAGAUAUGUGGAAGAAUACCGAUGGCGAAGGCAGCCCCCUGGGAUAAUACUGACGCUCAGAUACGAAAGCGUGGGGAGCAAACAGGAUUAGAUAUCCUGGUAGUCCACGCCAUAAACGAUGUCAACUAGCUGUUGGGGCCGUUAGGCCUUAGUAGCGCAGCUAACGCGUGAAGUCGACCGCCUGGGGAGUACGGUCGCAAGAUUAAAACUCAAAGGAAUUGACGGGGACCCGCACAAGCGGUGGAUGAUGUGGAUUAAUUCGAUGCAACGCGAAAAACCUUACCUACCCUUGACAUGUCUGGAAAUCCGAAGAGAUUUGGCCGUGCUCGCAAGGGAACCGGAACACAGGUGCUGCAUGGCUGUCGUCAGCUCGUGUCGUGAGAUGUUGGGUUAAGUCCCGCAACGAGCGCAACCCUUGUCAUUAGUUGCUACGCAAGAGCACUCUAAUGAGACUGCCGGUGACAAACCGGAGGAAGGUGGGGAUGACGUCAAGUCCUCAUGGCCCUUAUGGGUAGGGCUUCACACGUCAUACAAUGGUCGGGACAGAGGGUCGCCAACCCGCGAGGGGGAGCUAAUCUCAGAAACCCGAUCGUAGUCCGGAUCGCAGUCUGCAACUCGACUGCGUGAAGUCGGAAUCGCUAGUA
This 660-nucleotide ribosomal RNA is filed under the name Alcaligenes aquatilis. Its description in RNAcentral is "bacterial SSU rRNA". It matches the Rfam family "Bacterial small subunit ribosomal RNA", at positions 675 to 1340 of the family's 1533-position model. Lineage: Bacteria; Pseudomonadati; Pseudomonadota; Betaproteobacteria; Burkholderiales; Alcaligenaceae. The record is from RNAcentral.